UUAUACUUUCCGGCCAGUCGGAGUAGGGUUGUACGGUACUCUACUAAUGUAACAAGUUACUCCGCGUCAAUCAGUAGAACAAGAAUGCAGUUGCACAUCAUUCUGAAAUUUGCCAUUAUUUUCGUUCUGUUAACGAGCUCAAUUGGUGGUUCUAACACCAUGAGACUUCCGGAUAGACAUCCAGAUUCCUUGAAUGCUAUCGGGGUCCUCGGUUUGAGUAAAUGUGGCAAUGGUCAAAAAUUUAAUUAUAAACUGAAUCGCUGCAUGAAUGUUUGGUUUGGCUAAUCCGAAAUUUAAAAAAAAAAAAGUCACAGUCGGAAUGGAAAGGAGUUUCGCCAUGGUUUAUUUUUACCCUUUAGUCUGGAUUGAAAUCUUUGCGCUGUUGAUUUUGUAUGGUCUAACGGAUUCUUUGUGAACGCAAUAAAUACUUGACAUGUCAA
Molecule: long non-coding RNA, 440 nt
Organism: Daphnia pulex (common water flea)
Lineage: Eukaryota; Metazoa; Arthropoda; Branchiopoda; Diplostraca; Daphniidae
Exons: 2
Source: RefSeq, a predicted model, not a curated record